RNAcentral lists this ribosomal RNA (735 nucleotides) under uncultured bacterium. Its description in RNAcentral is "bacterial SSU rRNA". It matches the Rfam family "Bacterial small subunit ribosomal RNA", at positions 151 to 884 of the family's 1533-position model. The record is from RNAcentral.
CUGAAAGGAAGAUUAAUCCAGGAUGGGAUCAUGAGUGUCACAUGUCCGCAUGAUUAAAGGUAUUUUCCGGUAGACGAUGGGGAUGCGUUCCAUUAGAUAGUAGGCGGGGUAACGGCCCACCUAGUCAACGAUGGAUAGGGGUUCUGAGAGGAAGGUCCCCCACAUUGGAACUGAGACACGGUCCAAACUCCUACGGGAGGCAGCAGUGAGGAAUAUUGGUCAAUGGGCGAUGGCCUGAACCAGCCAAGUAGUGUGAAGGAUGACUGCCCUAUGGGUUGUAAACUUCUUUUAUAAAGGAAUAAAGUCGGGUAUGCAUACCCGUUUGCAUGUACUUUAUGAAUAAGGAUCGGCUAACUCCGUGCCAGCAGCCGCGGUAAUACGGAGGAUCCGAGCGUUAUCCGGAUUUAUUGGGUUUAAAGGGAGCGUAGAUGGAUGUUUAAGUCAGUUGUGAAAGUUUGCGGCUCAACCGUAAAAUUGCAGUUGAUACUGGAUGUCUUGAGUGCAGUUGAGGCAGGCGGAAUUCGUGGUGUAGCGGUGAAAUGCUUAGAUAUCACGAAGAACUCCGAUUGCGAAGGCAGCCUGCUAAGCUGCAACUGACAUUGAGGCUCGAAAGUGUGGGUAUCAAACAGGAUUAGAUACCCUGGUAGUCCACACGGUAAACGAUGAAUACUCGCUGUUUGCGAUAUACGGCAAGCGGCCAAGCGAAAGCGUUAAGUAUUCCACCUGGGGAGUACG